UUACAGUCAUAUCACGUUGAAACACCGCUUCCCGUAUGCUCAUCUAAGUUAAGCAACGUCGAGGUAGGUCAGUACCUAGAUGAGUGACCGCUUGGGAAUACCUGGUGC
Acanthosepion pharaonis is the source of this 108-nucleotide non-coding RNA. The record is from the annotation of a GenBank genome assembly. NCBI's taxonomy places the organism in Eukaryota, Metazoa, Mollusca, Cephalopoda, Sepiida, Sepiidae.